This 556-nucleotide ribosomal RNA is filed under the name uncultured bacterium. RNAcentral's name for it is "bacterial SSU rRNA". It matches the Rfam family "Bacterial small subunit ribosomal RNA", at positions 28 to 578 of the family's 1533-position model. The record is from RNAcentral.
AUUGAACGCUGGCGGCAUGCCUUACACAUGCAAGUCGAACGGCAGCACGGGAGCAAUCCUGGUGGCGAGUGGCGAACGGGUGAGUAAUAUAUCGGAACGUGCCCAGUAGUGGGGGAUAACUACUCGAAAGAGUAGCUAAUACCGCAUACGCCCUACGGGGGAAAGCAGGGGAUCUUCGGACCUUGCGCUAAUAGAUGAGCCUAAGUCAGAUUAGCUAGUUGGUGGGGUAAAGGCCUACCAAGGCGACGAUCUGUAGCGGGUCUGAGAGGAUGAUCCGCCACACUGGGACUGAGACACGGCCCAGACUCCUACGGGAGGCAGCAGUGGGGAAUAUUGGACAAUGGGCGAAAGCCUGAUCCAGCCAUGCCGCGUGUGUGAAGAAGGCCUUUUGGUUGUAAAGCACUUUAAGCGAGGAGGAGGCUACUUGGAUUAAUACUCUAGGAUAGUGGACGUUACUCGCAGAAUAAGCACCGGCUAACUCUGUGCCAGCAGCCGCGGUAAUACAGAGGGUGCGAGCGUUAAUCGGAUUUACUGGGCGUAAAGCGUGCGUAGGCGG